Pterulicium gracile is the source of this 95-nucleotide non-coding RNA. The record is from the annotation of a GenBank genome assembly. Lineage: Eukaryota; Fungi; Basidiomycota; Agaricomycetes; Agaricales; Pterulaceae.
UCGGAUAUGGUGUAAUGGUUAACAUUGCCGCCUCUCAUGAAGCGGAAACAGUUAUAUGAACGCGGCAGCUCGGGGUUCGAUUCCCCGUAUCCGAA